GACGAACGCUGGCGGCGUGCUUAACACAUGCAAGUCGAACGGAAGGGCCUCUUUCGGGGGGUACUCGAGUGGCGAACGGGUGAGUAACACGUGAGUAACCUGCCCUUGACUUUGGGAUAACUUCAGGAAACUGGGGCUAAUACCGGAUAGGAGCUCCUGCUGCAUGGUGGGGGUUGGAAAGUUUCGGCGGUUGGGGAUGGACUCGCGGCUUAUCAGCUUGUUGGUGGGGGAGUGGCUUACCAAGGCUUUGACGGGUAGCCGGCCUGAGAGGGUGACCGGCCACAUUGGGACUGAGAUACGGCCCAGACUCCUACGGGAGGCAGCAGUGGGGAAUAUUGCACAAUGGGUGGAAGCCUGAUGCAGCAACGCCGUGUGCGGGAUGACGGCCUUCGGGUUGUAAACCGCUUUCGCUCAUGACGAAGCUUUGUGUGACGGUAGUGGGUAAAGAAGCACCGGCUAACUACGUG
This 467-nucleotide ribosomal RNA is filed under the name uncultured bacterium. Its description in RNAcentral is "partial 16S ribosomal RNA". It matches the Rfam family "Bacterial small subunit ribosomal RNA", at positions 28 to 507 of the family's 1533-position model. The record is from RNAcentral.